Molecule: ribosomal RNA, 640 nt
Filed under: uncultured bacterium
Lineage: Bacteria
Description: bacterial SSU rRNA
Rfam family: Bacterial small subunit ribosomal RNA
Source: RNAcentral
UAACGCAUUAAGUGCCCGCCUGGGAGUACGAUCGCAAGAUAAACUCAAAGGAAUUGACGGGGCCCGCACAAGCAGCGGAGCAUGCGGCUUAAUUCGACGCAACGCGAAGAACCUUACCAAGGCUUGACAUAUAGGGAAAAGUGGCAGAGAUGUCAUGUCCGCAAGGGCUCUAUACAGGUGGUGCAUGGUUGUCGUCAGCUCGUGUCGUGAGAUGUUGGGUUAAGUCCCGCAACGAGCGCAACCCUCGUUCUGUGUUGCCAGCAUUUAGUUGGGGACUCACAGGAGACUGCCGGGGUUAACUCGGAGGAAGGUGGGGAUGACGUCAAAUCAUCAUGCCCCUUAUGUCUUGGGCUGCACGCAUGCUACAAUGGCCGGUACAGAGGGCUGCAAUACCGUAAGGUGGAGCGAAUCCCAAAAAGCCGGUCUCAGUUCGGAUUGAGGUCUGCAACUCGACCUCAUGAAGUUGGAGUUGCUAGUAAUCGUAGAUCAGCAGCGCUACGGUGAAUACGUUCCCGGGGCUUGUACACACCGCCCGUCACGUCACGAAAGUCGGUAACACCCAAAGUCAGUGGCCCAACCGCAAGGGGGGAGCUGCCUAAGGUGGGAUCGGUGAUUGGGACGAAGUCGUAACAAGGUAACC